Molecule: ribosomal RNA, 253 nt
Filed under: uncultured Eubacteriales bacterium
Lineage: Bacteria; Bacillati; Bacillota; Clostridia; Eubacteriales
Description: uncultured Clostridiales bacterium partial 16S ribosomal RNA
Rfam family: Bacterial small subunit ribosomal RNA
Source: RNAcentral
UACGUAGGGGGCAAGCGUUAUCCGGAUUUACUGGGUGUAAAGGGAGCGUAGACGGAAUUGCAAGUCUGAUGUGAAAAUCCGGGGCCCAACCCCGGAACUGCAUUGGAAACUGUAUUUCUAGAGUGUCGGAGAGGCAAGUGGAAUUCAUGGUGUAGCGGUGAAAUGCUUAGAUAUCAUGAAGAACUCCGAUCGCGAAGGCAAGUGUCCGGGGUGCAACUGACGCUGAGGCUCGAAAGUGCGGGUAUCGAACAGG